This 329-nucleotide unclassified non-coding RNA is filed under the name plant metagenome. RNAcentral describes it as "partial contains small subunit ribosomal RNA, internal transcribed spacer 1, and 5.8S ribosomal RNA". The record is from RNAcentral.
UUUCCGUAGGUGAACCUGCGGAAGGAUCAUUAAAUAGUACCACAGAUUACAUAUGCAAAUAUGACAAUCUACUACUAUAUACCAUUCCGAGUACUCUUUUUCCAUGUUGCUUCCGCGAGGCAGUCACUUCAAGUGGCCGUUUGCUCCGGAUCUCCCUUCCUGGAGAGCCGGCUGUGGGCGAGAUUUCCUUGCGAAAGGUCAAUUACAAAUCCAAUUAUGUUUUUAUUUUGUGUCUGAAUAGAUUUUUUUUUUCUUUCUUUUUUUAAUUAAUAAAUACAAAAAAAAUAAAAUAAAAUACAAAACUUUCAACAACGGAUCUCUUGGUUCUC